GAUGAACGCUAGCGGCAGGCUUAAUACAUGCAAGUCGAACGGUAAGUUUGGUAGCAAUAUCAAACCAAGAGUGACGUACGGGUGCGUAACACGUAUGCAACCUACCUUGUACAGGAGUAUAGCUCGGGGAAACUCGAAUUAACCCUCCAUGAGAUCAUAGAAUGGCAUCAUUUAGUGAUUAAAACUCAGGUGGUACAAGAU
RNAcentral lists this ribosomal RNA (201 nucleotides) under uncultured bacterium. RNAcentral describes it as "partial 16S ribosomal RNA". It matches the Rfam family "Bacterial small subunit ribosomal RNA", at positions 28 to 226 of the family's 1533-position model. The record is from RNAcentral.